RNAcentral lists this unclassified non-coding RNA (263 nucleotides) under fungal sp. RNAcentral's name for it is "partial internal transcribed spacer region". The stretch from base 1 to 44 matches the Rfam family "Eukaryotic small subunit ribosomal RNA", at positions 1788 to 1831 of the family's 1831-position model. The record is from RNAcentral. Lineage: Eukaryota; Fungi.
GUCGUAACAAGGUUUCCGUAGGUGAACCUGCGGAAGGAUCAUUACCACACCAAUCUCGGGGAGCAAUCCUCGAUUCCGUUACGUGGAACGAAUUAUUUCUGGGGAAGUGGCCUUCGUGUCACGACCUCUUUUUUAUAUCCGCUUGAGCAAUCAAGUGUGAUAGACCAAACAUUCUGAUAGUGACGAUUCAUAAGGCGGAAGUACCUUCUGCCGUCAUCAUGAAACGUAAACAACACUUUCAGCAACGGAUGUCUUGGCUCCCA